This 301-nucleotide ribosomal RNA is filed under the name uncultured bacterium. RNAcentral describes it as "partial 16S ribosomal RNA". It matches the Rfam family "Bacterial small subunit ribosomal RNA", at positions 509 to 807 of the family's 1533-position model. The record is from RNAcentral.
CAGUCGCCGCGGGAAUACGGAGGGUGCAAGCGUUAAUCGGAAUUACUGGGCGUAAAGCGCACGCAGGCGGUUUGUUAAGUCAGUUGUGAAAUCCCCGAGCUUAACUUGGGAACUGCAUUUGAAACUGGCAAGCUAGAGUCUUGUAGAGGGGGGUAGAAUUCCAGGUGUAGCGGUGAAAUGCGUAGAGAUCUGGAGGAAUACCGGUGGCGAAGGCGGCCCCCUGGACAAAGACUGACGCUCAGGUGCGAAAGCGUGGGGAGCAAACAGGAUUAGAUACCCCGGUAGUCCCUGUCUCUUAUAC